AACGAACGCUGGCGGCAGGCCUAACACAUGCAAGUCGAGCGGACCCUUCGGGGUUAGCGGCGGACGGGUGAGUAACGCGUGGGAACGUGCCCUUUGCUUCGGAAUAGCCCUGGGAAACUGGGAGUAAUACCGGAUACGCCCUUUUGGGGAAAGAUUUAUCGGCGAAGGAUCGGCCCGCGUUGGAUUAGGUAGUUGGUGGGGUAAUGGCCUACCAAGCCGACGAUCCAUAGCUGGUUUGAGAGGAUGAUCAGCCACACUGGGACUGAGACACGGCCCAGACUCCUACGGGAGGCAGCAGUGGGGAAUCUUAGACAAUGGGGGAAACCCUGAUCUAGCCAUGCCGCGUAAGCGAUGAAGGCCUUAGGGUUGUAAAGCUCUUUCACCGGGGAAGAUAAUGACGGUACCCGGAGAAGAAGCCCCGGCUAACUCCGUG
This 433-nucleotide ribosomal RNA is filed under the name uncultured bacterium. RNAcentral's name for it is "partial 16S ribosomal RNA". It matches the Rfam family "Bacterial small subunit ribosomal RNA", at positions 29 to 507 of the family's 1533-position model. The record is from RNAcentral.